Molecule: ribosomal RNA, 879 nt
Filed under: uncultured bacterium
Lineage: Bacteria
Description: bacterial SSU rRNA
Rfam family: Bacterial small subunit ribosomal RNA
Source: RNAcentral
AGAUUGAACGCUGGCGGCAGGCUUAACACAUGCAAGUCGAGCGGUAACAUUUCUAGCUUGCUAGAAGAUGACGAGCGGCGGACGGGUGAGUAAUGCUUGGGAAUAUGCCUUAUGGUGGGGGACAACAGUUGGAAACGACUGCUAAUACCGCAUAACGUCUACGGACCAAAGGAGGGGAUCUUCGGACCUUUCGCCAUUUGAUUAGCCCAAGUGAGAUUAGCUAGUUGGUAAGGUAAAGGCUUACCAAGGCGACGAUCUCUAGCUGGUUUGAGAGGAUGAUCAGCCACACUGGGACUGAGACACGGCCCAGACUCCUACGGGAGGCAGCAGUGGGGAAUAUUGCACAAUGGGCGAAAGCCUGAUGCAGCCAUGCCGCGUGUGUGAAGAAGGCCUUCGGGUUGUAAAGCACUUUCAGUUGUGAGGAAAGGGAUGUAGUUAAUAACUGUAUUCUGUGACGUUAACAACAGAAGAAGCACCGGCUAACUUCGUGCCAGCAGCCGCGGUAAUACGAGUGGUGCAAGCGUUAAUCGGAAUUACUGGGCGUAAAGCGUUCGUAGGCGGUCUAUUAAGCAAGAUGUGAAAGCCCAGGGCUCAACCUUGGAACUGCAUUUUGAACUGGUAGACUAGAGUACUGUAGAGGGUGGUGGAAUUUCCAGUGUAGCGGUGAAAUGCGUAGAGAUUGGAAGGAACAUCAGAGGCGAAGGCGGCCACCUGGACAGAUACUGACGCUGAGGAACGAAAGCGUGGGGAGCGAACAGGAUUAGAUACCCUGGUAGUCCACGCCGUAAACGAUGUCAACUAGCCGUUCGUAGACUUGAUCUGUGAGUGGCGCAGCUAACGCACUAAGUUGACCGCCUGGGGAGUACGGCCGCAAGGUUA